Orcinus orca (killer whale) is the source of this 7872-nucleotide long non-coding RNA. RefSeq lists it as uncharacterized. The transcript is spliced from 2 exons. Lineage: Eukaryota; Metazoa; Chordata; Mammalia; Artiodactyla; Delphinidae. The record is from RefSeq and is a predicted model, not a curated record.
GGGGCACGAACCCGUGUCCCCUGCAACGGCAGGCGGACUCUCAACCACUGCGCCACCUGGGAAGCCCCGAAGCGUUCCAUAUUUUAAAAAAUAAAAUAAAAUACAGGGAUUUAUUCAACUUAACAUUAUUGCUUUUUAACUGUAUGUUACAAACUUGAUCUUGGAGCUCCAACGGAAUUGCAUGCUUUCCUUCUCUACAAAGCAGAGGGCAGGAGAAUUUUACUUCCUUAGUGGAGAGCAGUAUUUGAGUUUAAAUCCUCGACUCUGAUACAAGAGAAUUGUGUGUGUGGCCAUAGCUGUGCAUAUUUUUUUUCCUCAUUUUUUUAGCCAUAGCCACUCUUUCAUAUGAAACAUUUGGAAGUAAAAUGCAAAAUUAUGAAAUCAAUAUAAGGCUUAGCUUUCAGGUCCAUGUGAAAGGCUGUUUAUGUUUGUUCAUUGAACAGAAGUGGAAAGCUUAGAUUUUUUUUUUGUUUUGAGAUAAACUGCCUAACUUCUUACCUGUAUUUUUUUCUCCUUUUUUCUUACCUGUAUUUUUAUUCAUUCGAUAAUCUUUACCAUUGGAAGGUUUUUUUAAAAAAAUAGUAAUAAUACAAAUUAUAUAAGUAUAAUAUAGUUUUAAAAUUAGAAUAAUGGGUCAACGUCCCCUUCUUGAGAGCUUUGGCUUACAUAAGGGAAAUCACCUUUAAUUAGCUCUUCCAGUCACUCAGUGUAAAAAGGUCGGAAAGUAAUCGAGCAUCUGUAUGUUUGUGUCUUUUUCUUAAAUACAGUUUUUAUUUAUGCACUUUUCUGUGCUGCAGUGCGUGGCAGAGAUAGGAGCAUUGUAGCAUGCAAGAAAUAAUUAGGUGCAUCCCCUUUUUGUAAUAAAUAGGUUUCCAAACAUUAGUAUGAAAAUUUUUUUUGUAAAUUUCAUCAUAUUUCAUAUACACCAUAAUGGAUGUGUAUAGGAAUUCGGUUAGGGAAUCCUUUUAACCUGUGAGUCAUCCUUCUGUUGUGUUAUUGUCCCCUGAACUAUAUGUUUUUUAGAUUUUACUUGUCAUGUAUGUAAGAAUGAGGUCUCUUGUGAAGAACAUACUUGCAUGGGGAUCAGACUCAUAUCAAAUUAUGGAAAAGCUGCUAUGUGUGAAAUAAGAUUUGAGGAAUUAGAACAUUUAACUUAAUGAGAAUUGUUAUCAGCUAAUUUUUAUUAGCUUUUGGAUGUGAUUUCCUGAUCCCCUCAAAAGUUUUCUAAGGGGUAGCUGGGGAUGAAAGGGUGGAUACCUUCUUUUUAUUGCCUCUUCUAAAUCUUUUCUGCCUUUCCCUUUCUCAGUUUAGUAAUUCACAUCUUAUUCUGUUUAAAACCACACAAGUGAGGUUAAACAUGUCUUCACCAUGCCAAGAGGCAAGUGAGUGGCUAGGGAGGGGAGUGAGUAGUAACUGGAUAUUUGACUAAAUUGAUGGAUCAAUUGUAAGCAUUGUGGUUUUGUUGAUAAGCUUUAGGUGAUUUUGGAAGGCUAGUUAGGGGAGUUAAAAAGUGGAACUAAAUAAAUAUGAGGUGGUCUUAACAGUAUAUUUAUGUAUUUUUUACAAAUUGAGAUAUAAUUCACAUACCAUGAAAUGUAUCAUUUUAAAGUAUAUAAAUCUGUGGGUUUUAGUAUACUCACAGAGCUAUGUAACCAUCACCACUAAAUGUGCUAAUUCUAGAACAUUUUCAUGUACCCCAUACUCAUUUGCAGUAACUCCUCAUUCCUCCCUUACCCAUCUCCUGACAACCAUUAAUCUCCUUUCUGUCUCUAGGGAUUUGCCUAUUCUGGACAUUUUGUGUAAAUGGAAACAUGUGGCCCUUGUGUCCAUCUUCUUUCACUUAGCAUAAUUUUUCAAGGUUCAUCUGUAUUGUAGCAUGGAUCAAUACUUCAUUCUUUUUAUUGCUGAAUAAUAUUCUAUUGUAUGGAUGUACCACAUUUUGUUUAUCUAUUUCUCUUUUGAUGGACAUAUGUGUUAUUUUUACUUUUUGACUGUUGUGAACAAUGCUGUUAUGAACAUUCAUGUACAAGUUUUUGUGUGAACAUAGGUUUUUCAUUUUCUCGGGUAUAUACCUAGGAAUGAAAUUCCUGGUCAUAUGGUAACACCAUGUUUAACUUUUUGAGGAACUGUCAUACUAUUUUUCAAAGCAGGUGAACCAUUUAGCAUUCCCACUGGCAAUAUAUAAAUGUUCCAAUCUCUUCACAUCCUCCCCAACAAUUAUUCCUUGUCCUUUUUUUUUUUUUUUAAAUAAUAGCAUCCUGGUCGGUGUGAGUUAAUAUCUCACUGUGAUUUUGAUUUGCAUUUUCCUAAUGACUGAUGAUGUUGAGCAUCUUUUCAUGUGCUUAUUGAUUAUUUAUAUACCCUCUAGGGAGAAAGGUCUAUUCAAAUCCUUUGACCAUUUUUUAAAAAUGGAUUUUUUUAAUUGUUGAAUUUUAAGAGUUCUUUAUAUAUUAUGGAUACUGAACUUUAUCAGAUAUAUGAUUUGCAAAUAUUUUCUCUCAGAUGAAGGGGUUGUCUUUUCAUUUUCUUAAUGAUAUCAUUUGCAGCAUACAAGUUUUAACUUUUGAUGUAGUCCAAUUUAUUUUUUCUCUUCUUUUUUGUGCUUUCAGUAUUGUAUCUUAAAGAACUCAAGGUAAUGAAGAUUUACUCUUCUGUUUCCUUCUAAAAUUUUUAUUGUAUUAGCUCUUACUUUCAGGUCUCUGAUCCAUUUUGAGUUAAUUUUUUAUAUAUGGUGUGAGGUAGGGGUCCAACUUCAUUCUUUGGGAGGUGGAUAUACAGUCGUCCCUGUAUCAUUUGUGGAAAAGACCAUUCUUCCCACCAUUGAGUGGUAUUGGCAUACUUGUCAAAAACUGGAUGACCAUAGAUUUGUGGGUUUAUCUGGAUUCUCAGUUCUUUUCCAUUGAUCUACAUGUGUACUCUUAUGCCAAAACCACAUAGAAGACUGUAGCUUUAUAGUAAGUUUAGAGAUCAGGAAAUAUGAGUUCCUCUUCUUUUACAAGACUGUUUCGGCUAUCUGUGUUUCUUGCAUUUCCAUAUGAAUUUUAGGAUCAGCUUGUCCAUUUCUGCAAAAAAGGCAGUUGGAAUUUUGAUAGGGAUUGCAUUGAAUCUGUAGAUCAAUUAGGGGAGUUUUUCCAUCUUGACAAUACUAAGUCUUCCGAUCCAUGGACACAGGAUGUCUUUCCAUUUAUUUAAGUCUUCUUUAAUUUCUUCCAAUGUUUUAUAGCUUUCAGUGUACAAGUCUUGUGCUUCUUUGAUUUAAUUUACCCUUAAGUGUUUAUUCUUUUUGAUGUUAAUAAGUGGAAUUGUGUUCUUAAUUUAUUUUUCAGAGUGUUCAUUGCUAGUGUAUAGAAAUACAACUGAUUUUUGUAUAUUGAUCUUGUAUCCUAUAACCUUGCCGAACUUGUUUGUUAGUUCUAAUCGAUUUUUGAGGAUUUUUUAAAUUGUUUUCUAUAUAUAAGAUAAUGUCAUCUGCAAAGAGAGGUAGUUUUACUUUUUACUUCCUUUUCUUUCGUCUCUUGCCUAAUUACCUUGGCUAGAACUUCUAGUACAAUGUCAAAUAAGAGUUGUGAGAAUGGACAUCCUUUUCUUAUUCCUGAUCUUAGAGGGAAAACUUCUAGUCUUCCGCUAUUAAGUAUAAUGUUAACUGUGGGUUUUUCGUAGAUGCCUGCGAUCAGGUUGAGGAACUUGUAUACCUAGUUUGUUGAGUGUUUUUAUCAUGAAAGGGUGUUGGAUUCUAACAAUGUGUUUUAAUGAAGAGAUGGGCAGAUUUUCUUGUGAGUUGAGUUCUUGUACUAUCUGUGUCAGGAAAUAAUUUUUUUUUUCUUUUUUUUUCUGUACGCGGUCCUCUCACUUGUUGUGGCCUCUUCCAUUGCGGAGCACAGGCUCCGGACGCGCAGGCUCAGCGGCCAUGGCUCAUGGGCCCAGCCGCUCCGCGGCAUGUGGGAUCUUCCCGGACAGGGGCAUGAACCCGUGUCCCCUGCAUCGGCAGGCGGACUCUCAACCACUGCGCCACCAGGGAAGCCUAAGUCUGACUAUCUUUUAAUGGACAGAGCUCCACUGGCAUUUUUUUUCAUGAGUAAUAUUGCUAACGUAGUAUUUGACUGAAUACUACAGUUCUCUAAUUUUGUACAUAUGCCCCAAGGGCCUUUGGUUAAUGGCUACAUUUUUAAUAAAUCUGAAGAAUGUGCUGGGUGAAUAUUAAUAAUCUUCAAUGGAAAUGCAAAUAUCAAACCUAGUGGAGUUAUGAUCCUAGAUUUUGGGCAUGCUACAUCUGUAAUGUUACAUGUUUACUAAAGAUGUUUGGGAAAAAAAGGUUUCAAAGAGGUGUACUUUCCUACAAAUGUAUUCAGUACUAUUCUUAACAACUGUUCUUAGAAAUAAUAGGAUUUCCAAUUACUAGUCAUCGAAUGCUUGAAUAAUAGCCACAAUUCCUAAAAUUUAUAGAGCAAUGUAAAUUAUGACAACUUUUUCUUAAGAAAUAAUGUACUAAUGUUUCGUAAUUCUUUUAUUUUUGCUUAGUACUUUUAUUAAGUAUUCUGAAAAUAAAUCUCUGACCCUAGUUGGUCAUCCCAAGAAACAAAAUUUGCUAAGAGAAAAAAAAAGUAUAACUAGCAUACAGUAUAAGGAAGCACGCAGGGCUCCAAGGUAGUAGGUAUUAAUUGUAAAGAUGCAGCAGCAGCUGCCUGACCAAGUCUGGCAGUUCUGAUGUCUCUCCUCCUGCCUCUCAGGGUUGGCAUCACUCUCAGCAGUGUGGCAUCUCUGCACCUCUUCCAGUAUCUUCUCUGCUUGUUGAUUUCCACUGGUUGAAUCUAUUCUUUUUUCCCUGUUCAAAUUCCAGUAUUAGCUUAGCCUUACCAUCACACAGGUUGGAGAGUGGUCUUCCAAGCUUGGGGAAAGCAGUCUUUUUGAGGUGGAGAUGUUGCUGUGGGCCGGGCAGCUAUAGGAAGAACCAUGAUAUGGUCUGCAGAGCUGCUGCACAGAACCACUCCCUGGGCCACCACGUUUAUGGUUUUGCUGAUUGGAUGUGAUGAGCAGGCAGUAGCAGGCACUUAGUGAUUGGCCUUGUCUGGUGUGCUCAAAGGAGAAAGCUCAGCCAGAGCUCCAGGUGCGGUUGUGAUUAGCCACAGGUGCAAGAGUGAAUGGUCCUGUGGACAGAAGCAGUGGCUGGUUGAGGUGUUAGGAGAGCAGGGAGCAGUGGGCUGAGUUGGGGGUGGGACUGAAAAAACAAAGAAGCAGUGGCUGGUUUGUGGCUGUCUCUAGAGGUGCAAGUGUUUGAAGUCAGCGGUAUGUUGGGUUAAUUACUAAGUAAGCAGGUUUCUAGAUGCCUUCAAACAAAGGAGCGCUUAACUUGGUAUUUACACUUACCACUCCUUUCCUCCCACCCUCUGCUGUUAACCAAUGUCAGGACAGUUUUGCAAAGAAUCGAAAACUUGAGGGUGCUUUGUGCCUGUUCCUGUAGGAAUUGACAGGAGGCUUCACAACCAGGUGAUGCCUGACAUCACUGUGGAAGUGGAAUUCAGUGGUUGUGAAUCUUUCUGGUUACUCUGUGUAUUCCUCUUUUGAUGGAAACUUCCAUUUUUCCAUCCACAAUCUUAAAUUCCUUUUGUUCAUAUGCCAUCAAGGAUGAGGUUACCAAAAUGUUUUGCUCUUAAAUUUUCCAAAUUUGGGAUAUUAUUUGUCAUUAUUGUUAUUAUUUAUUCAGUUACAUGGUCUAAUUUUUUUGAACCCCAUUUUGUUUUUCUUAUGUUGAUCUAAUAUAGAAAUGUAAUAAGCAAUUCCUGCUGAACUUCCUUUAGAACAGUAUUUUUCUAGAGUAUUUGAUUAAAGUAUUCGGUGAAAAUAAUUAGAAUAUUUUUUCUUGUUAAUAUCACCGGGACUUAGACAGAGGAAAUGAAUGCUGUAAUUGUCAAACUUAAAAAAAAAUUUUACCUUGUCAUUAGUUUACCUUUGUAUUUAAGCAUAAUGAAUACUGUCAAUUUGCAUUUUAAGGAAAAGCAUUUUAAUGUGAAUACAGUUAGUAAUCAGAUUUUUCACUGAAUGUCAUUGCAUCAAACCAAUAAUUAAAAAUACUUUAAGUUUUUGGACUGUAAGACUAAGUUUUUGGACUAGAACAGAAAUCUGGGGUAUAUUUUUUCCACUUUAUGUAGUAUUAAUCAUUUUUUCUCUUUUAGGGCCCCAAACUGAUGGCUUACAUGUUAAUGCACUGAAUGGCCUAUGACAGAUUUGUAUUAUCUCUCAUUUUAUACAGCCAUUGACUGGAAAUAUCCAAAGAUAAACGGUUACACUGUUUCUAACUUGAAAGUAAAGAAUAGAUCUACUUUUGUAAAGGUCAUAGAAUGUAGAUUUUAAAAAAUAUAUUAUAUAUACCAAGUUAUGGAUUAUAUUCCAUUUAAAUUAUUAUGUAAAGGGGUAUCUGUUUUGCCCUAAAAAGUACCUUACGCAUUCAGUCUUCUUUUUUUUUUUUCCAACUUGCUUAUUUAUUUAUUUAUUUAUUUAUAUUUGGCUGUGUUGGGUCUUUGUUUCUGUGCGAGGGCUUUCUCUAGUUGCGGCAAGCGGGGGGGCCACUCUUCAUUGCGGUGCGCGGGCCUCUCACUAUCGCAGCCUCUCUUGUUGUGGAGCACAGGCUCCAGACGCGCAGGCUCAGUAGUUGUGGCUCACAGGCCUAGUUGCUCCGCGGCAUGUGGGAUCUUCCCAGACCAGGGAUCGAACCCGUGUCCCCUGCAUUGGCAGGCAGAUUCUCAACCACUGCGCCACCAGGGAAGCCCACCUUCAGUCAUUUUUAUAUCACAAUAGUUUAGCUUUAUGUUAAAAAAAUGAUAGGAAAACUUUUUAUUUGAUGUAUUUUAAAAAUUUGCUUUUUCCUAAAUUUAAUUUUGCUCAGUAAACUCAUCACCUCACUAUCCCUCAUGAAACCAAGUCCUCUCUCUUUAGUUAAGAAUAGCUUGAAUUUUGGUGCACAUUUUUGCUACUUUCAGACCAAGUUUGAAGUAGCCUUAUAUCAAAGGUAGCCUUAUGUGGAGAGCCUUAUUGCAAAGAUUUUAGAGUAUUUAAUUUCUAGUAUUUUUUCUAGAAUUCAGAAUCUUGGGUAUUUCUGGCCAUAUAAGAACUUUGAGAAGAGUUCUCUAUUUAGUUUUUGGUGAAAUAUGUUAAGCACUUUGAGAAUGUCCUUACACUUUCUGACAAUUGUAUUUAUGUUAAGUAAAGUUAUACCUCAGUUUUUCUGUUGAAUUUUGUACUGUCAUAUGAUAAAGUUCACCAAUGAAUAAAUUGUUAUGUAUGUAUGUGAUAAAGAUACUUGCCUUAAAAUAGAGCACUCCUGUUUUGCAAACAGUCUACAGUCAAAUCGUCUUUCCAGUUACUAAUAUUUCUGUGCGCCUGGUGAAUGCAGGCCUGAUUAAGUCCAUGGAGGUAGGAAAGAAGAUGGAUAUCUUUUCAUUGUUAAUAAUCUGAACCUGGAUUAAAAAGUAUCUUGGACAUGUAAAGAUUUUAUGGAAAAAAUAAUAUGAGUGUUGUGUGGCGUUUACUCCUAAAGAUAGCAAAUGACUGAACAGAUAAAAUGCCCGUUGGUUUUAAUCAUUAUUUUCAUUGACCCUAUUCUCAGUAGGAGUAGUGAUUCAAAAAUGUGUAUGUCAGUUGUACUGUAUGGUCUAUACUUCUGCUGUGUAUACAUAACUACUGCUAAUUGUCAUCGUUAAUGGCCAUUGCCUUUAUCAUAGAGGGAUCAGCCAAUAGAGAGGGUAAUUUGAAUAGUAAAGAUUGUGUCAUAGUUUGGGAUUUAAGGUAAUAAUAAUUUUAUUGUUUAGAAGCUCUUUUAGGAAUGAUGGUUUAAAUGGACAUCACUUUUAUCUUCUAAUAAAAAGAUUCUUAAAAUCA